CAACAGCACGCUGAUGGGCUGGGCAAGGGGGCUGUAAAGCCUCCCGGCUGCAAGGUUAUUUACGUCAGCUGGUUCUUGGCCGGGUACCUUGGCACGGAAUGAGAUUCAAGGGUACUGGCGUCCGGUAUAGCGUGCGACUGCGCGAUACCGGAAGCGAGAUUCAAAUCAGACCGCUAAACAUGUAGAUCUGCCCGAAGAAGGCUUGCGGACGCGGGUUCAAUUCCCGCCAGCUCCACCA
RNAcentral lists this transfer-messenger RNA (238 nucleotides) under Burkholderiaceae bacterium. RNAcentral describes it as "partial transfer-messenger RNA". It matches the Rfam family "transfer-messenger RNA", at positions 153 to 374 of the family's 374-position model. Rfam says of the family: Bacterial tmRNA, also known as 10Sa RNA or SsrA, is named for its dual tRNA and mRNA-like properties. Its role is to liberate the mRNA from a stalled ribosome. To accomplish this part of the tmRNA is used as a reading frame that ends in a translation stop signal. Lineage: Bacteria; Pseudomonadati; Pseudomonadota; Betaproteobacteria; Burkholderiales; Burkholderiaceae. The record is from RNAcentral.